Non-coding RNA from Coffea arabica (coffee), 810 nucleotides. The record is from RefSeq and is a predicted model, not a curated record. NCBI's taxonomy places the organism in Eukaryota, Viridiplantae, Streptophyta, Magnoliopsida, Gentianales, Rubiaceae.
CUACACAUUGUACACCUUUUUCCCUUUCCAAGUUUCCUUUUUGUCAGACCAACAUUUCACCUUGAAGAAUGUUGAAUUUGCAGAGAGGGCAGGUUGCAUUAAUUCGCAGCCAUCUGCGGAUGCAUCGGUAAUGAAAAUGGUGGUUGCAGGGGAGAGUGCACACCUCCACUCCAUCCUCAUAGCCAUGAAGGCAUAUGCAGCAUUCCUGCAAUGGCCAGGUCAUCAACCAACUUGAGUGUUUGGAAUAUAAGCUUCGGUGGGGAAUCCUAUGAAAUUCCUACCAAUAGAGCAGAGGAGACAUAUCAAACUUGAUUUUGUACCAGUUCUGUUAAUUGCAACCAUACAGCUUAUGCCAUGAGGAAGCAGAUAUGUUAAGAUUGCGAAAGCUUCAAACUGUUAGUGGCUCAUUGUAUUCAUGCUCGGUUUUAAGCAGCAGACCAACUCUUGAGGUGGAUAGAAAAAGGAGUGAGCUUAGCUUAAGGAGUUUCCUAUCUGAACCUUUGAAAAGUGCUCUUCCAGUGGAUAUCUCCCUUCAAAAACAACAAACUUGGAGCUGUACACGCUAGACAAUGGAUUACAUAGCAUUCUAGAUGCAAUAUCAGGAAUAAUCACUUCUUUGACUCAACUGAUGAGUUAUGAGGAAUCUGACUUUAAUAAUUUGCUUCUGAAAUAUAGACAGGGAAAAGGAUAGGUUUAAGCAAGGGAGAAAGCCAUUCUUCAGUGUACUGUUGUAUUAGAGGUCAAACAUUUCACAGUGAAAAAAAAACAAAGAAAAUUUGAAAAGCAAAAUAUACAAAAAAUCUACUCUCA